UGAGAGCUGAUGCCUGCCCAUUGAAACUUUCCCGAUUGUAUAUAGGGCAUAGUGAGAUGCAGUUUAGACAUCGAACCCUGUAGGGAGAGAGAGAGGGCGUGCGUGGGUAGGGCGUGCGGUAACAAAAUCGUGGGUGGAGAGAGAGAGAGAGAGAGAGAGAGAGAGAGAGAGAGAGAGAGAGAGAGAGACCGACAGGAAGAGAGACAGAGGAGGGAGAGAGAUAGAGGGGAAGGGAGAGAUCGAGUAGGAGAGGGGAAUAGGGCGAGAGAGGUACAGAGAGAGGAGGCGCGAGAGAGAGACAGA
Molecule: long non-coding RNA, 303 nt
Organism: Magnolia sinica
Lineage: Eukaryota; Viridiplantae; Streptophyta; Magnoliopsida; Magnoliales; Magnoliaceae
Exons: 3
Source: RefSeq, a predicted model, not a curated record